GUGUGUGUGUGUGUGUGUGUGUGUACUUCAGACGUGAGUGAGGGUGUGUUGAUCAUAUAGUGAUCGUGUUCCCCUGGAUCAGAGAGAGAGCUGGAGAAUCAUGGAAUAUUGAGACGUGCCGUCAGUGUUUGGAUGAUGUUCCUGAUGACUGCCGAUCGCUGUUCCUGGAACUGUGCAAGGCUUGCGACACACACAGACGGAGCCGUCCCGGAGCCGGAGAUCUCGUCUAGACGCCGUCUCUCCCCUCUGACUGGAACUGAAGCUCGGUGUGUGUGUGUGUGUGUCUGCAUCUGCUCCUCAUGGUCUGAGUCUGCACCGCUGGAACUGUGAACAUCAGCGAAUCCAACAUGAUCAAACACAGAUGGGUUCUUCACAGUCCUCACAAACACAAAUAUUUCAAUGCAAUGAUCAUAGAUUUGAACAGUUGUGUGUAUAAUA
Molecule: non-coding RNA, 438 nt
Organism: Pimephales promelas (fathead minnow)
Lineage: Eukaryota; Metazoa; Chordata; Actinopteri; Cypriniformes; Leuciscidae
Source: RefSeq, a predicted model, not a curated record